RNAcentral lists this ribosomal RNA (233 nucleotides) under uncultured bacterium. RNAcentral describes it as "partial 16S ribosomal RNA". It matches the Rfam family "Bacterial small subunit ribosomal RNA", at positions 118 to 347 of the family's 1533-position model. The record is from RNAcentral.
UGAGCAACCUACCGAACUGUGGGGGAUAGCCGGCCUAACGGCCGAGUAAUACCGCAUACGCUCUCAGGGAGGCAUUUCUUUGAGAGGAAACCUACGGGACAGAUCGAGGGGCUCGCGGCCUAUCAGCUAGUUGGCGAGGUAACGCUCACCAAGGCAACGACGGGUANCUGGUCUGAGAGGAUGGCCAGCCACAUUGGGACUGAGAUACCGGCCCAGACCUCCGUACGGGGAGG